UACGGAGGGUGCAAGCGUUGUCCGGAAUCACUGGGCGUAAAGGGCGCGUAGGCGGCCUGAUAAGUAGGAGGUGAAAUCCUGCGGCUUAACCGCAGGGCUGCCUUCUAAACUGUCAGGCUGGAGCACAGUAGAGGCAGGUGGAAUUCCCGGUGUAGCGGUGGAAUGCGUAGAGAUCGGGAAGAACAUCGGUGGCGAAGGCGGCCUGCUGGGCUGUUGCUGACGCUGAGGCGCGACAGCGUGGGGAGCAAACAGG
Molecule: ribosomal RNA, 253 nt
Filed under: uncultured bacterium
Lineage: Bacteria
Description: partial 16S ribosomal RNA
Rfam family: Bacterial small subunit ribosomal RNA
Source: RNAcentral